AGCAAUAGUCGGCUGCUACCAUGCAGUCGAACGCGAAAGUCCCGCAAGGGAUCAGUAGAGUGGCAAACGGGUGAGUAACGCGUGGGCGACCUACCUUCGAGUGGGGGAUAACCUUCCGAAAGGAGGGCUAAUACCGCAUGACAUCCCGUGUUUGGAUACACGGACAUCAAAGCCGGGGAUCGCAAGACCUGGCGCUUGGAGAGGGGCCCGCGUCCGAUUAGCUAGUUGGUGGGGUAAUGGCUCACCAAGGCUCCGAUCGGUAUCCGGCCUGAGAGGGCGGACGGACACACUGGAACUGAGACACGGUCCAGACUCCUACGGGAGGCAGCAGUGGGGAAUUGUUCGCAAUGGGCGCAAGCCUGACGACGCAACGCCGCGUGGAGGAUGAAGACCUUCGGGUCGUAAACUCCUUUCGACCGAGAUGAAUUUCUGCCGGCCUAACACGCUGGCGGAUUGACAGUAUCGAGGGAAGAAGCCCCGGCUAACUCCGUGCCAGCAGCCGCGGUAAUACGGGGGGGGCAAGCGUUGUUCGGAAUUACUGGGCGUAAAGGGUUCGUAGGUGGCUAGCUAAGUCAGACGUGAAAUCCCUCAGCUUAACUGGGGAACUGCGUCUGAUACUGGCUGGCUCGAGUGCAGGAGAGGAACGCGGAAUUCCAGGUGUAGCGGUGAAAUGCGUAGAUAUCUGGAGGAACACCGGUGGCGAAGGCGGCGUUCUGGACUGCAACUGACACUGAGGAACGAAAGCCAGGGGAGCAAACGGGAUUAGAUACCCCGGUAGUCCUGGCCCUAAACGAUGAAUGCUUGGUGUGACGGGUAUCGAUCCCUGUCGUGCCGAAGCUAACGCAUUAAGCAUUCCGCCUGGGGAGUACGGUCGCAAGGCUGAAACUCAAAGGAAUUGACGGGGGCCCGCACAAGCGGUGGAGCAUGUGGUUCAAUUCGACGCAACGCGAAGAACCUUACCAGGCUCGAACUGCAAGUGACAUCCGGCGAAAGCCGGCUCCCGCAAGGCAGUUGCCGAG
Molecule: ribosomal RNA, 1019 nt
Filed under: uncultured bacterium
Lineage: Bacteria
Description: bacterial SSU rRNA
Rfam family: Bacterial small subunit ribosomal RNA
Source: RNAcentral